CACGUAGGGGGCAAGCGUUGUCCGGAAUUAUUGGGCGUAAAGAGCUCGUAGGCGGCUUGUCACGUCGGUUGUGAAAGCCCGGGGCUUAACCCCGGGUCUGCAGUCGAUACGGGCAGGCUAGAGUUCGGUAGGGGAGAUCGGAAUUCCUGGUGUAGCGGUGAAAUGCGCAGAUAUCAGGAGGAACACCGGUGGCGAAGGCGGAUCUCUGGGCCGAUACUGACGCUGAGGAGCGAAAGCGUGGGGAGCGAACAGG
This 253-nucleotide ribosomal RNA is filed under the name uncultured bacterium. RNAcentral's name for it is "partial 16S ribosomal RNA". It matches the Rfam family "Bacterial small subunit ribosomal RNA", at positions 524 to 776 of the family's 1533-position model. The record is from RNAcentral.